AUGCUGCGGAAGUCCGGCACCCAGCGCCGGCAGCCGGCGCUGUGGCGGCGGUGCCGUAGCCUCCGCCAAAUCAAGCAGGUCCACACACUCCUGGUCCUCCGGGGCUUCCUCUCGGACCCCUCCGCGCUCCGCGAGCUCCUCUUCGCGUCCGCCGUCGCCGUGCGCGGCGCCAUCGCCCACGCCUACCACGUGUUCGAGCAAAUCCCGCACCCGGACCUCUUCAUGUACAACACCCUCAUCCGCGGCGCCGCGCACACCUCCGCGCCCCGGGACGCCGUCUCCCUUUACGCGCGCAUGGCGCGGCUCAGCAGCUGCGGCGGCGUGAGGCCCGACAAGAUCACCUUCCCGUUCGUGCUCCGGGCGUGCACCGCCAUGGGCGCGGGUGGCACCGGGGCGCAGGUGCACGGCCACGUCGUGAAGGCUGGACUGGAGUCCGACGCGUUCAUCAAGAACGCGCUCAUCGGCAUGCACGCGAGCUGCGGAGAGCUGGGUGUUGCAGAUGCUCUGUUUGACUGCAGGGCGCGUGAGGACGCCGUGGCAUGGUCGGCGAUGAUCAGCGGCUGUGCAAGGAGAGGGGAUAUUGGUGCUGCCCGGGAUCUGUUCGACGAGUGUCCUGUGAAGGACCUUGUGUCCUGGAACGUGAUGAUCACCGCAUAUGCCAAGCGGGGGGAGAUGGCCCCAGCAAGAGAGCUGUUCGACCGGGCACCUGAGCGUGAUGUUGUGUGCUGGAACGCCAUGAUUUCUGGGUAUGUGAGAUGUGGCUCGCACAAGCAUGCCAUGGACCUGUUUGAGCAGAUGCAGCGCACGGGCAAAAAGCCAGAUGUUAUCACAAUGCUGAGCUUACUGUCAGCCUGUGCCGACUCCGGUGAUUUAGAUGUCGGCCGAAGGUUGCAUUCCUCUCUUUCAGAGAAGUUCUCAGGAACUGGUUUUACUGUCAUCCUCGGCAAUGCGCUGAUUCACAUGUACGCGAAAUGCGGGAGCAUGAAGAGUGCACUGGAGGUGUUUUGGGUGAUGCGAGAUAAGGAUGUCUCAACUUGGAACUCAAUCAUAGGAGGUUUGGCAUUGCAUGGUCAUGCCCUGGAGUCUGUUGACGUGUUCAAGAAAAUGCUGAAAGAGAAAGUCCGGCCUGAUGAGAUCACCUUCGUCGCUGUCCUUAUCGCAUGCAGCCACGGCGGUAUGGUUGACAAGGGACGUGAGUACUUCAAUUUGAUGCAACAGCAGUACAGGAUUGAGCCCAAUGUCAAGCACUACGGUUGCAUGGUUGACAUGCUGGGUCGCGCGGGGCUUCUGAAGGAAGCAUUUGAGUUCAUUGACACCAUGAAGGUGGAGCCUAAUUCUGUCAUCUGGAGGACGCUUCUUGGGGCUUGUAGGGUCCAUGGUGAGAUUGAACUGGCUGAGCACGCUAACAGACAGCUGCUAAAGGCGAGGAGCGAUGACAGUGGGGAUUAUGUGCUCCUCUCGAACAUCUAUGCUUCAGCUGGAGAAUGGUUGGAGUCGGAGAAGAUGAGAAAGUUGAUGGAUGACAGUGGUGUCAACAAGGAGGCAGGUCGCACGGUUGUAGAUGGCAGCACAAAGGAUUCAGUGCAGUCUUUCAGAGGGUCGAAAUCACAUCCUGGACUGAAAGGAUUUAUUGGUUGA
Molecule: ribosomal RNA, 1638 nt
Filed under: Triticum aestivum (bread wheat)
Lineage: Eukaryota; Viridiplantae; Streptophyta; Magnoliopsida; Poales; Poaceae
Description: partial small subunit ribosomal RNA
Source: RNAcentral